Long non-coding RNA from Daucus carota subsp. sativus, 3122 nucleotides. RefSeq lists it as uncharacterized. The record is from RefSeq and is a predicted model, not a curated record. The transcript is spliced from 14 exons. Lineage: Eukaryota; Viridiplantae; Streptophyta; Magnoliopsida; Apiales; Apiaceae.
CGCUUUUUUCCGUAUCUCUCAAGUCUCAACUGUUACUAAAAUUCUGUCUCCUGCUAAAAUUCUAUCUCUUAAUAUAGAUACUAUAAACAAAAACAAACACUGCAAAUUUCAUAGAACUCUUUCUAUGUCUCAUCCUUUCUCCGACUGAAGCUGUGGCGGACUAAUACUUAAACGACGCCUCCUAUUAGAAUUCUAACUCCUGGUGUUCACUGGUUUUACAAACGAAAGCAAAUACUGCAGAGCAAUUGUGGAGGAAGCGACUGCGGAUACGUUAGAUGAGACUGACUGGGCUACGAAUCUUGAGCUUUGUGAUAUGAUUAAUCAUGAUAGGAUUAAUAGCCUUGAAUUGAUUCGAUCGAGGUGUGAAGAAAAGGAUUAUGAUGAAGGUUCCUAGGGUUCAGUACUUGGGUUUGGUUUUGCUUGAGACUAUUUCUAAAAAUUGUGAGAAAGCGUUUUCGAAAUUUGCGGCUGAAAGGGUGUUUGAUGAGAUGGUGAACAUAGUUGAUGAUCCUCAGACAGUUGUUAAUAACCGCAGUAAGGCUUUGAUUCUGAUUAAAGCGUGGAGGGAGUGAGCUUCGCUAUUUGCCUGUUUAUGAGGAGACGUACAAGGUAUGUUCGUACCACCAAAAAUGAUUGCUUAGUGUCAAAAAUAUGUAGAAUCUUUAAUUCAAUGCUUUAGAUUUCGUGUUCUUUACUGUUUCCUCUGUUUUAUUUACUUAACUUAUCACCUUGGAUAUAUGUUCUUUUUGGGGCCUUGGUUUUUUCCGAGCUUGAGGUCCAGAGGUAUACGCUUUCCUGGUUGUGAUGGCUCCUAUAUUCACUCCUCCUCGUUCGACCACAGUACCGGAGUCAAAUGCGAGCUUGGCACAACAAAUGUAUAAUGAGGUUCUUGUGAUAAGCUUUUCUCCCGAGCAAACAAAAGAAGUAUUCGAUGUUGCAAGAAACAGUAUUGAACUUCUUAGGACAUUUUUGUCCUCCUCACUAGAGCAAGAAGCUUUAUAGAUCCAUAAAUUUGCUCUUCGCUUUUUGUCGGUUUAUGAAACAGAACAGUUUAUAAGCUCAUUAAAGGAUAUCUUGGACGAUUCAAGUGAUGUUGGAGAGCCCUCUAGCAACUUUGGGUCUGCUCAAUAACCUCCAUCAGAGUGCGUCAUUUCAAGUGGAUCUCCAUAUAGACCUACCAAGGAUUGGAGCCCUGCACCUUCUACAAAUACUCAGUCCCAACGAAUGUCACCAAUUUUGAAUCCUGAUGCUCUCCAAACCUCAAACCCACCAGAACCCAUAUAUUACAAUCCUGUUGAGGCUACUCAUCCUAAUUUUCCUCCCAGCUUCACAUCGUUACUGUUGAACUGUAGCCCUGCUGUUCAUCAAGCUGCUGCACAAGUGCAGCCAUCUCUCUCUGAGGAUGCGGAUCUGAAAGAUCAAAUUGCGAGGUAUAUGAAGGACUCUUCCUUUCGAGGUAUGUCUGCAUCUUAUCAUCCUGGCCACACUGGGAGUUUCUAAGGUGUGACUGCCUUUUCCAUUCGAUUGUCACUGAUUCUAGGAUCCUCUGUUACCUUCCAUCUGUGGUAGCUACUGCCAUAAUGUGUCUUGUUAUCAAAGAAGUUGAUGUUAAUAAUGCACUGGAAUAUCAGAACCAGCUUCUGGGCAUCCUCAAAAUCAGCAAGGAAAGAGUGAAUGAAUGCUGUAACCUGAUCACGGAACUACUUGGCGAUUGUGGUUACAAGAAAUAAAUGUCUUUUCUAAAUAAAAAUUGAACAUGUUUAUCAUUCUUAAUUUUAUAAAAAUCUUCUUAGAAAAUUUAAUAUAUAUAUAUAUAUAUAUAUUUAGAAAAUAUGCUUGAUAUCCUCUAAAAAUAUAUUCAUAGGGACAUCUAUACUAUACUAUAAUAAGCCAACAUAGGUAUAAUUUGUAUUCCUACUUUUUUGUUAAGUUUUUUGGUUUGGUCAUGUUUUUUUGUCAUCUCAAUGUUAUCCUUAUUAAAAAUAUAAAUAAUAAUAUUAAACAUCUAUCUUAGUAUUAAAAAAACAGAUAUAAAGAAUAUUGCCAGAAGUCUAUCUCCUGUUAGAAACAAGUAGUAGUCUUAAAAACAAAAACAAACAUCCGCACUCUCCUCGACUCCUCUGCCCUCCUUCUGUCUUUCUCUGAAGCGCUUGCAAAGGGGAUCUGAUUCAAUUAGCACUCGAGACAGAGAUUUGAAAAGAAACAUGAUUACGUGAGACGGGCCUGAACGAAGACGAUGACCGGGAAUCCUGCUACGGUGUUAACUUAGGCAGAAGAUAUCAUCAGCUCCUUCAGCCAUCAAAUCUGUAUUUGGUCAAGAAGAAAACCGGCCUGAUGCAGCGGACAAACUAGAAAAAUUAAGAGAGAGGAUGAUCAAAGUACGAGACCUUUUCCGCGACACAGAAUCGACAGAAUUUGUCAUUGUAAUGAUCCCCACGGUCGAUGGAACAAGAUGAGGAGCGUUCGAAAAAAUUCAAAGAAAAUCGGAGGAAACAUUUACGAGAUAUUGAAGAACAGAGCGUUCCGGAUAUUGAGGAAUUUGGAAAUUUUAGCGGGGAAACGCAGGAUUAAGUUGCAAGAUGGUUCAUCGUUUGUGGAUGAGGAUUCGAAGGUUACUGUGUACCAGAAUGUGCAGUGGAGCAGUAGGUACCAAGUGGUGGUGAGGCCUAACGGGACUGAUGUUAAUUUUUUUAGGGACUAAUUAUUCCGGUGAAGCUGCUGCUCCUCAGAUAUGUACUUAUGCUUCUGGGGUUCUUGAUAAGGAGACACAGACUCUUAGGAUUGUGCCCGUCACUUCAAAUAAGGUUGUGGAUAUCAUCUAUGCCUUUGCUUAUACUAUCCAGUCAAGUUUAAAUCCAUGGUUUCACAACCAAUGCAUGUUCACAAUUUUUUCACUUCACAUCUCACAGGAGCAGCAGCAGGGUGGACAAGGACCAGAGAUGCAUGCAUACCCCAUCUGCAACUCAGCCUAUCACAAAUUUAAAUUUAAUUACUCACUCGAAUUUUGUGUUAGAACUAUUAAUUAGAUGUACUUUUUUUUUUGAAUGUAUGGAUGUCUAAAUCCUUACGAUUCCCGUUUCAGUUUAUGUUAGCCGAGUGCGACCCAUACAUAUCUGAGAGAA